Molecule: ribosomal RNA, 1655 nt
Filed under: Escherichia coli
Lineage: Bacteria; Pseudomonadati; Pseudomonadota; Gammaproteobacteria; Enterobacterales; Enterobacteriaceae
Description: partial 23S ribosomal RNA
Rfam family: Bacterial large subunit ribosomal RNA
Source: RNAcentral
GAAUGCUGACAUAAGUAACGAUAAAGCGGGUGAAAAGCCCGCUCGCCGGAAGACCAAGGGUUCCUGUCCAACGUUAAUCGGGGCAGGGUGAGUCGACCCCUAAGGCGAGGCCGAAAGGCGUAGUCGAUGGGAAACAGGUUAAUAUUCCUGUACUUGGUGUUACUGCGAAGGGGGGACGGAGAAGGCUAUGUUGGCCGGGCGACGGUUGUCCCGGUUUAAGCGUGUAGGCUGAUUUUCCAGGCAAAUCCGGAAAAUCAAGGCUGAGGCGUGAUGACGAGGCACUACGGUGCUGAAGCAACAAAUGCCCUGCUUCCAGGAAAAGCCUCUAAGCAUCAGGUAACAUCAAAUCGUACCCCAAACCGACACAGGUGGUCAGGUAGAGAAUACCAAGGCGCUUGAGAGAACUCGGGUGAAGGAACUAGGCAAAAUGGUGCCGUAACUUCGGGAGAAGGCACGCUGAUAUGUAGGUGAAGCGACUUGCUCGUGGAGCUGAAAUCAGUCGAAGAUACCAGCUGGCUGCAACUGUUUAUUAAAAACACAGCACUGUGCAAACACGAAAGUGGACGUAUACGGUGUGACGCCUGCCCGGUGCCGGAAGGUUAAUUGAUGGGGUUAGCGGUAACGCGAAGCUCUUGAUCGAAGCCCCGGUAAACGGCGGCCGUAACUAUAACGGUCCUAAGGUAGCGAAAUUCCUUGUCGGGUAAGUUCCGACCUGCACGAAUGGCGUAAUGAUGGCCAGGCUGUCUCCACCCGAGACUCAGUGAAAUUGAACUCGCUGUGAAGAUGCAGUGUACCCGCGGCAAGACGGAAAGACCCCGUGAACCUUUACUAUAGCUUGACACUGAACAUUGAGCCUUGAUGUGUAGGAUAGGUGGGAGGCUUUGAAGUGUGGACGCCAGUCUGCAUGGAGCCGACCUUGAAAUACCACCCUUUAAUGUUUGAUGUUCUAACGUUGGCCCGUUAUCCGGGUUGCGGACAGUGUCUGGUGGGUAGUUUGACUGGGGCGGUCUCCUCCUAAAGAGUAACGGAGGAGCACGAAGGUUGGCUAAUCCUGGUCGGACAUCAGGAGGUUAGUGCAAUGGCAUAAGCCAGCUUGACUGCGAGCGUGACGGCGCGAGCAGGUGCGAAAGCAGGUCAUAGUGAUCCGGUGGUUCUGAAUGGAAGGGCCAUCGCUCAACGGAUAAAAGGUACUCCGGGGAUAACAGGCUGAUACCGCCCAAGAGUUCAUAUCGACGGCGGUGUUUGGCACCUCGAUGUCGGCUCAUCACAUCCUGGGGCUGAAGUAGGUCCCAAGGGUAUGGCUGUUCGCCAUUUAAAGUGGUACGCGAGCUGGGUUUAGAACGUCGUGAGACAGUUCGGUCCCUAUCUGCCGUGGGCGCUGGAGAACUGAGGGGGGCUGCUCCUAGUACGAGAGGACCGGAGUGGACGCAUCACUGGUGUUCGGGUUGUCAUGCCAAUGGCACUGCCCGGUAGCUAAAUGCGGAAGAGAUAAGUGCUGAAAGCAUCUAAGCACGAAACUUGCCCCGAGAUGAGUUCUCCCUGACUCCUUGAGAGUCCUGAAGGAACGUUGAAGACGACGACGUUGAUAGGCCGGGUGUGUAAGCGCAGCGAUGCGUUGAGCUAACCGGUACUAAUGAACCGUGAGGCUUAACCUU